This 470-nucleotide ribosomal RNA is filed under the name uncultured bacterium. RNAcentral describes it as "bacterial SSU rRNA". It matches the Rfam family "Bacterial small subunit ribosomal RNA", at positions 29 to 477 of the family's 1533-position model. The record is from RNAcentral.
AACGAACGCUGGCGGCGUGGAUAAGACAUGCAAGUCGAACGAUUAUCACCGGGUAGCAAUAUUCGGUGGUGAGAGUGGCGCAAGGGUGCGUAACACGUGGGUAAUUUGCCGUGAAGUCUGGAAUAACUUGCUGAAAGGCGAGCUAAUACCGGAUGUGAUUUUUGGAAGGCAUCUUCUGAAACUCAAAGUCGGGGACCGCAAGGCCUGACGCUUCUCGAUAAGCCCGCGGCCUAUCAGCUAGUUGGUGAGGUAGCGGCUCACCAAGGCUAAGACGGGUAGCUGGUCUGAGAGGACGACCAGCCUCACUGGAACUGAGACACGGCCCAGACUCCUACGGGAGGCAGCAGUGGGGAAUAUUGGACAAUGGGCGCAAGCCUGAUCCAGCGAUGCCGCGUGUGUGAAGAAGGCCUGCGGGUUGUAAAGCACUUUCAGUAGGGAAGAAAGCCGAGUGCUAAUAUCAUUCGGUCUUG